UACGUAGGGGGCAAGCGUUGUCCGGAAUCAUUGGGCGUAAAGAGCGUGUAGGCGGCCAGAUAAGUCCGCUGUGAAAUCUCGAGGCUCAACUUCGAGCUGUCGGUGGAAACUGUCUGGCUAGAGUCCGGAAGAGGAGAAUGGAAUUCCUGGUGUAGCGGUGAAAUGCGCAGAUAUCAGGAAGAACACCGGUGGCGAAGGCGGUCUGCUGGGGUCGAACUGACGCUGAGGCGCGAAAGCGUGGGGAGCGAACAGG
This 253-nucleotide ribosomal RNA is filed under the name uncultured bacterium. RNAcentral's name for it is "partial 16S ribosomal RNA". It matches the Rfam family "Bacterial small subunit ribosomal RNA", at positions 524 to 776 of the family's 1533-position model. The record is from RNAcentral.